This 2278-nucleotide ribosomal RNA is filed under the name Bacillus subtilis. RNAcentral describes it as "bacterial LSU rRNA". It matches the Rfam family "Bacterial large subunit ribosomal RNA", at positions 3 to 2278 of the family's 2925-position model. The record is from RNAcentral. Lineage: Bacteria; Bacillati; Bacillota; Bacilli; Caryophanales; Bacillaceae.
UUAAGUUAGAAAGGGCGCACGGUGGAUGCCUUGGCACUAGGAGCCGAUGAAGGACGGGACGAACACCGAUAUGCUUCGGGGAGCUGUAAGCAAGCUUUGAUCCGGAGAUUUCCGAAUGGGGAAACCCACCACUCGUAAUGGAGUGGUAUCCAUAUCUGAAUUCAUAGGAUAUGAGAAGGCAGACCGGGGAACUGAAACAUCUAAGUACCCGGAGGAAGAGAAAGCAAAUGCGAUUCCCUGAGUAGCGGCGAGCGAAACGGGAUUAGCCCAAACCAAGAGGCUUGCCUCUUGGGGUUGUAGGACACUCUGUACGGAGUUACAAAGGAACGAGGUAGAUGAAGAGGUCUGGAAAGGCCCGCCAUAGGAGGUAACAGCCCUGUAGUCAAAACUUCGUUCUCUCCUGAGUGGAUCCUGAGUACGGCGGAACACGUGAAAUUCCGUCGGAAUCCGGGAGGACCAUCUCCCAAGGCUAAAUACUCCCUAGUGACCGAUAGUGAACCAGUACCGUGAGGGAAAGGUGAAAAGCACCCCGGAAGGGGAGUGAAAGAGAUCCUGAAACCGUGUGCCUACAAGUAGUCAGAGCCCGUUAACGGGUGAUGGCGUGCCUUUUGUAGAAUGAACCGGCGAGUUACGAUCCCGUGCAAGGUUAAGCAGAAGAUGCGGAGCCGCAGCGAAAGCGAGUCUGAAUAGGGCGCAUGAGUACGUGGUCGUAGACCCGAAACCAGGUGAUCUACCCAUGUCCAGGGUGAAGUUCAGGUAACACUGAAUGGAGGCCCGAACCCACGCACGUUGAAAAGUGCGGGGAUGAGGUGUGGGUAGGGGUGAAAUGCCAAUCGAACCUGGAGAUAGCUGGUUCUCUCCGAAAUAGCUUUAGGCUAGCCUCAAGGUAAGAGUCUUGGAGGUAGAGCACUGAUUGGACUAGGGGCCCCUACCGGGUUACCGAAUUCAGUCAAACUCCGAAUGCCAAUGACUUAUCCUUGGGAGUCAGACUGCGAGUGAUAAGAUCCGUAGUCGAAAGGGAAACAGCCCAGACCGCCAGCUAAGGUCCCAAAGUAUACGUUAAGUGGAAAAGGAUGUGGAGUUGCUUAGACAACCAGGAUGUUGGCUUAGAAGCAGCCACCAUUUAAAGAGUGCGUAAUAGCUCACUGGUCGAGUGACUCUGCGCCGAAAAUGUACCGGGGCUAAACGUAUCACCGAAGCUGCGGACUGUUCUUCGAACAGUGGUAGGAGAGCGUUCUAAGGGCUGUGAAGCCAGACCGGAAGGACUGGUGGAGCGCUUAGAAGUGAGAAUGCCGGUAUGAGUAGCGAAAGAGGGGUGAGAAUCCCCUCCACCGAAUGCCUAAGGUUUCCUGAGGAAGGCUCGUCCGCUCAGGGUUAGUCGGGACCUAAGCCGAGGCCGAAAGGCGUAGGCGAUGGACAACAGGUUGAUAUUCCUGUACCACCUCCUCACCAUUUGAGCAAUGGGGGGACGCAGGAGGAUAGGGUAAGCGCGGUAUUGGAUAUCCGCGUCCAAGCAGUUAGGCUGGGAAAUAGGCAAAUCCGUUUCCCAUAAGGCUGAGCUGUGAUGGCGAGCGAAAUAUAGUAGCGAAGUUCCUGAUUCCACACUGCCAAGAAAAGCCUCUAGCGAGGUGAGAGGUGCCCGUACCGCAAACCGACACAGGUAGGCGAGGAGAGAAUCCUAAGGUGAUCGAGAGAACUCUCGUUAAGGAACUCGGCAAAAUGACCCCGUAACUUCGGGAGAAGGGGUGCUCUGUUAGGGUGCAAGCCCGAGAGAGCCGCAGUGAAUAGGCCCAGGCGACUGUUUAGCAAAAACACAGGUCUCUGCGAAGCCGUAAGGCGAAGUAUAGGGGCUGACGCCUGCCCGGUGCUGGAAGGUUAAGAGGAGCGCUUAGCGUAAGCGAAGGUGCGAAUUGAAGCCCCAGUAAACGGCGGCCGUAACUAUAACGGUCCUAAGGUAGCGAAAUUCCUUGUCGGGUAAGUUCCGACCCGCACGAAAGGCGCAACGAUCUGGGCACUGUCUCAACGAGAGACUCGGUGAAAUUAUAGUACCUGUGAAGAUGCAGGUUACCCGCGACAGGACGGAAAGACCCCGUGGAGCUUUACUGCAGCCUGAUAUUGAAUGUUGGUACAGCUUGUACAGGAUAGGUAGGAGCCUUGGAAACCGGAGCGCCAGCUUCGGUGGAGGCAUCGGUGGGAUACUACCCUGGCUGUAUUGACCUUCUAACCCGCCGCCCUUAUCGGGCGGGGAGGACAGUGUCAGGUGGGCAGUUUGACUGGG